This 74-nucleotide transfer RNA is filed under the name Oscillochloris trichoides DG-6. RNAcentral describes it as "tRNA-Gln". It matches the Rfam family "tRNA". Rfam says of the family: Transfer RNA (tRNA) molecules are approximately 80 nucleotides in length. Their secondary structure includes four short double-helical elements and three loops (D, anti-codon, and T loops). Further hydrogen bonds mediate the characteristic L-shaped molecular structure. tRNAs have two regions of fundamental functional importance: the anti-codon, which is responsible for specific mRNA codon recognition, and the 3' end, to which the tRNAs corresponding amino acid is attached (by aminoacyl-tRNA synthetases). tRNAs cope with the degeneracy of the genetic code in two manners: having more than one tRNA (with a specific anti-codon) for a particular amino acid; and 'wobble' base-pairing, i.e. permitting non-standard base-pairing at the 3rd anti-codon position. Lineage: Bacteria; Bacillati; Chloroflexota; Chloroflexia; Chloroflexales; Oscillochloridaceae. The record is from RNAcentral.
CUGGGGGAUAGUUUAAGGGUAGAACACCUGAUUCUGGCUCAGGUAGUUGGGGUUCGAAUCCCUGUCCCCCAGCC